RNAcentral lists this ribosomal RNA (250 nucleotides) under uncultured bacterium. RNAcentral's name for it is "partial 16S ribosomal RNA". It matches the Rfam family "Bacterial small subunit ribosomal RNA", at positions 355 to 602 of the family's 1533-position model. The record is from RNAcentral.
UAAGGAAUAUUGGACAAUGGGCGAAAGCCUGAUCCAGCCAUGCCGCGUGCAGGAAGAAUGCCCUAUGGGUUGUAAACUGCUUUUAUAUGGGAAGAAUUGCUUCGACGUGUCGGAGUUUGACGGUACCAUAUGAAUAAGCACCGGCUAACUCCGUGCCAGCAGCCGCGGUAAUACGGAGGGUGCAAGCGUUAUCCGGAAUUACUGGGUUUAAAGGGUGCGUAGGCGGCAACGUAAGUCAGAAGUGAAAGCU